GAUGAACGCUAGCUACAGGCUUAACACAUGCAAGUCGACGGUCAUCAGGAAGAAAGCUUGCUUUCUUUGCUGGCGACCGGCGCACGGGUGAGUAACACGUAUCCAACCUGCCCUUUACUCGGGGAUAGCCUUUCGAAAGAAAGAUUAAUACCCGAUGGCAUAAUGAUUCCGCAUGGUUUCAUUAUUAAAGGAUUCCGGUAAAGGAUGGGGAUGCGUUCCAUUAGGUUGUUGGUGAGGUAACGGCUCACCAAGCCUUCGAUGGAUAGGGGUUCUGAGAGGAAGGUCCCCCACAUUGGAACUGAGACACGGUCCAAACUCCUACGGGAGGCAGCAGUGAGGAAUAUUGGUCAAUGGGCGCUAGCCUGAACCAGCCAAGUAGCGUGAAGGAUGAAGGCUCUAUGGGUCGUAAACUUCUUUUAUAUAAGAAUAAAGUGCAGUAUGUAUACUGUUUUGUAUGUAUUAUAUGAAUAAGGAUCGGCUAACUCCGUGCCAGCAGCCGCGGUAAUACGGAGGAUCCGAGCGUUAUCCGGAUUUAUUGGGUUUAAAGGGAGCGUAGGUGGACUGGUAAGUCAGUUGUGAAAGUUUGCGGCUCAACCGUAAAAUUGCAGUUGAUACUGUCAGUCUUGAGUACAGUAGAGGUGGGCGGAAUUCGUGGUGUAGCGGUGAAAUGCUUAGAUAUCACGAAGAACUCCGAUUGCGAAGGCAGCUCACUGGACUGCAACUGACACUGAUGCUCGAAAGUGUGGGUAUCAAACAGGAUUAGAUACCCUGGUAGUCCACACAGUAAACGAUGAAUACUCGCUGUUUGCGAUAUACAGUAAGCGGCCAAGCGAAAGCAUUAAGUAUUCCACCUGGGGAGUACGCCUGCAACGGUGAAACUCAAAGGAAUUGACGGGGGCCCGCACAAGCGGAGGAACAUGUGGUUUAAUUCGAUGAUACGCGAGGAACCUUACCCGGGCUUAAAUUGCAGUGGAAUGAUGUGGAAACAUGUCAGUGAGCAAUCACCGCUGUGAAGGUGCUGCAUGGUUGUCGUCAGCUCGUGCCGUGAGGUGUCGGCUUAAGUGCCAUAACGAGCGCAACCCUUAUCUUUAGUUACUAACAGGUCAUGCUGAGGACUCUAGAGAGACUGCCGUCGUAAGAUGUGAGGAAGGUGGGGAUGACGUCAAAUCAGCACGGCCCUUACGUCCGGGGCUACACACGUGUUACAAUGGGGGGUACAGAAGGCAGCUAGCGGGUGACCGUAUGCUAAUCCCAAAAUCCUCUCUCAGUUCGGAUCGAAGUCUGCAACCCGACUUCGUGAAGCUGGAUUCGCUAGUAAUCGCGCAUCAGCCACGGCGCGGUGAAUACGUUCCCGGGCCUUGUACACACCGCCCGUCAAGCCAUGGGAGCCGGGGGUACCUGAAGUACGUAACCGCAAGGAUCGUCCUAGGGUAAA
This 1435-nucleotide ribosomal RNA is filed under the name uncultured organism. RNAcentral's name for it is "SSU rRNA". It matches the Rfam family "Bacterial small subunit ribosomal RNA". The record is from RNAcentral.